Molecule: ribosomal RNA, 494 nt
Filed under: uncultured bacterium
Lineage: Bacteria
Description: partial 16S ribosomal RNA
Rfam family: Bacterial small subunit ribosomal RNA
Source: RNAcentral
GACGAACGCUGGCGGCGUGCUUAACACAUGCAAGUCGAACGGUGAAGCGCCUUCCUUUUUGGUGGGUGUGGAUGAGUGGCGAACGGGUGAGUAACACGUGAGUAACCUGCCCCCUUCUUCUGGAUAACCGCAUGAAAGUGUGGCUAAUACGGGAUAUUCUGGGUCUGUCGCAUGAUGGGUCUGGGAAAGAUAUUGUUUCGGUGGGGGAUGGGCUCGCGGCCUAUCAGCUUGUUGGUGGGGUGAUGGCCUACCAAGGCGGUGACGGGUAGCCGGCCUGAGAGGGUGGACGGUCACACUGGGACUGAGACACGGCCCAGACUCCUACGGGAGGCAGCAGUGGGGAAUAGUGCACAAUGGGCGCAAGCCUGAUGCAGCGACGCCGCGUGAGGGAUGGAGGCCUUCGGGUUGUGAACCUCUUUCGCCAGUGAAGCAGGCCUGCCUCGUUUGUGGGUGGGUUGACGGUAGCUUGAUAAGAAGCGCCGGCUAACUACGUG